ACUCCGUGCCAGCAGCCGCGGUAAUACGGAGGGUGCGAGCGUUAAUCGGAAUUACUGGGCGUAAAGGGUGCGUAGGUGGUUUAAUAAGUUAUCUGUGAAAUCCCUGGGCUCAACCUGGGAAGGUCAGAUAAGACUGUUUGACUCGAGUAUGGGAGAGGGUAGUGGAAUUUCCGGUGUAGCGGUGAAAUGCGUAGAGAUCGGAAGGAACACCAGUGGCGAAGGCGGCUACCUGGCCUAAUACUGACACUGAAGCACGAAAGCGUGGGGAGCAAACAGGAUUAGAUACCCUGGUAGUCCACGCCGUAAACGAUGUCAACUAGCUGUUGGAA
Molecule: ribosomal RNA, 329 nt
Filed under: uncultured Legionella sp.
Lineage: Bacteria; Pseudomonadati; Pseudomonadota; Gammaproteobacteria; Legionellales; Legionellaceae
Description: bacterial SSU rRNA
Rfam family: Bacterial small subunit ribosomal RNA
Source: RNAcentral